Molecule: small nuclear RNA, 107 nt
Filed under: Spermophilus dauricus (Daurian ground squirrel)
Lineage: Eukaryota; Metazoa; Chordata; Mammalia; Rodentia; Sciuridae
Source: RNAcentral
GUGCUCGCUUCGGCAGCACAUAUACUAAAAUUGGAACGAUAUAGAGAAGAUUAGCAUGGCCCCUGUGCAAGGAUGACACACAAAUUCGUGAAGCGUUCCAUAUUUUU